Struthio camelus australis is the source of this 1683-nucleotide long non-coding RNA. NCBI's taxonomy places the organism in Eukaryota, Metazoa, Chordata, Aves, Struthioniformes, Struthionidae. The record is from Ensembl.
CUCCUGUUGUGCAAAACCAUACCAGCCAGUCACCUGUCGCAAUCAGCUUCUCGCUGUCAUCCAAAAUUUGUGAGGAAAGAGGUUGGAUUUUCCAGCCCUCUGACUCAAAUGCUGAAGAUCUGCCUUAUGUGCGGGCACUGAAGAGACUACAACAAAUUCAAAAACAAAUAAAAGAACAAGUAUCCGAGCAGAAAGAAGCAGGGUUUGGUAAACCAAUUAUUCUCCGACAUUAUGGUGAUCCCAGAGAAGAAAAUUUCCUCAAGACAUGGAAGGGUCAGACUGGCAUGACUGUCACACCAGCGCUGCUGUAUGGCAAACCUCAGAUCCCAAUGGCCAAGAAAACAGACCCCCCACAGAGAAAACUGCAUUAUGGGCUGAAUGAUGGCUCAUCUUUAAUUUAAUAUCCUUUCUGUUUACACAGCACAUGUGAAUGCCAGCAAGCGUGUGACAGGCUGCACAUUCUGUCUGUCUGCCUGUCAUGGUGGAAACCACAGAAGAUACAGUGCUUCAUAAAUAUACUUCUCACUUAUAUGUCAUCUUUGCUCCUGGGAAGGUCACUCUUGGCCUUUACCAGCAGGAAUUUCCUAUUGGCCCGUGUUAGCUUAGUCAGGCAGGAGGAUUUUGUACUCAGAGCUCUUCCCAUCCUCCAUCUCUCCCAACCCACUUGGCUCUUAAGGAUAUAGAGCAGGUAGAGAGUGUUAGUCCCUGUGCGCUCUGCAUAGGCAUGCAACAGAAGCCAUGAAACUGAGAGAGCAUGAUCAAGUUAACUCCUUGACUCAUUUUAGCUAUCCUUCUGAAUAUCUUGCUGUUUGCCAAAGCUACUGCAAUCUCCCAGGUGGGGGCUUGUGUACCAACAUAUUUAGCCCUUCUCCGGAUCACUCUAUAGUUGGAACUUUCACCCCUUUUGGACAUGGCAGUAUCUGUCUUCCUAGCAGCACCAUAACAAUGAUGUUUAAUCAGGAAGGAGGUCUGGUGACUAAUAAAGAUGGAGAAAUGGCCAGAGAAUGGAAAUGGCCUCGGGAUGGCAAGCUUGCCCAGCCAGUUAUAAUACAGCCAAAGUUGACAGAGUUAUUGAAGAAAUACAAAGGUCCAGAGGAGACUAUAAGCCAUGUAAAUGAUAUCAGUGCAGCUAGAGAACUGAGGAAGCUACAGAGGAAGAUCCGGAGCAUUGUGGAGGACUGGCUGGAGCAUUAUCGAACUGCCCUAGGAACUGACUCCACACACAUUCAGAAAAUGUCUGACUUUCCUCUGCAACUCUCAAGGAAAUGCAAAAUUCAGUCUGCAGAUGCUCUCUCAGUUACCUCAGUCAUGCAGAGAUCAAAAGGGAAGAGGAAAGACAACAGCCAAGCUACCAAGUCAGAAAGUCCUCUCCUUCUAGAUCAACUGCAGUCGGCUCCUCCUCACAACAUGCAGCAGGAACCAUGCUCUUAUUCUCUCAGGGUCAUAUCCCAGACUGCUUGCCCUGCUGUUCUUCGGAGAAUUAUGAUGGGGGAGGAAGGGAAGACAUGCAGAUGUAGUAAUCGUAAGAUUCCCAAUGUGUCCGACCUGGAAUAUGAUCACCUAAUUAACAAUCAGAUGUCCUCCAAGGAGCAGAUCGUAGUGGUCUGUGUCUCUUCUUCUUCACAAAUAAAAAAAGAUCCUAGUGAAGACAAAUUAGAGCAGCUGUAUGAAAGAAAAAACAAG